UACAGAGAGUGCAAGCGUUAAUCGGAAUUACUGGGCGUAAAGCGCACGUAGGUGGAUAUUUAAGUCGAAUGUGAAAGCCCCAAGCUUAACUUGGGAACUGCAUCCGAUACUGAGUAUCUCGAGUAUGGUAGAGGGAAGUGGAAUUUCCGGUGUAGCGGUGAAAUGCGUAGAUAUCGGAAAGAACAUCAGUGGCGAAGGCGGCUUCCUGGACCAAUACUGACACUGAGGUGCGAAAGCGUGGGGAGCAAACAGG
Molecule: ribosomal RNA, 253 nt
Filed under: uncultured Coxiella sp.
Lineage: Bacteria; Pseudomonadati; Pseudomonadota; Gammaproteobacteria; Legionellales; Coxiellaceae
Description: partial 16S ribosomal RNA
Rfam family: Bacterial small subunit ribosomal RNA
Source: RNAcentral